Non-coding RNA from Misgurnus anguillicaudatus (oriental weatherfish), 458 nucleotides. The record is from the annotation of a RefSeq genome assembly. NCBI's taxonomy places the organism in Eukaryota, Metazoa, Chordata, Actinopteri, Cypriniformes, Cobitidae.
UAAGGCUGAAGCUAUAGCUACAGUUUGCCAUUUACUGUGUGUGUCAAUCCAGAGUCAUCAUGUUAUUUUUUACUAUAUUGCUGCUUGCAUUAUUUAAAGGUAAAAGUUUUGCAGAUGUUAUCACCACAAAAAGAGAUCAUGUGUUCACCACAGUUGGUGACAAAGUUACUCUUUCUUGUAACUUCAGCAGCAGUAGUUAUGUGCCAAGACUUCAUUGGUAUCGUCAGUAUUUGGGUUCAGUACCUCAGUUCCUCAUACUGGAGUACUCAGGGAGUGUAGUGACUGCUAAUCCUCCCAUCCAAGGGAUUUCCAUUAAACACAGGAAAGAAGCUCAGGAGGUGGAUCUGGAGAUCUCAUCUGUUAAAGUCACAGACUCUGCUCUGUAUUACUGCGCCCUGCAGCCCACAGUGACAGAAAACACAACAACACUGUACAAAAACCUGACAGCAAAUUAUUAA